GAUGAACGCUGGCGGCGUGCUUAACACAUGCAAGUCGAACGAUGAAGCUCAGCUUGCUGGGUGGCUUAGUGGCGAACGGUUGAGUAACACGUUAUUAACCUGCCCUUAACUCUGGGAUAAGCCUGGGUAACUAGGUCUACUACUGGAUAGGAGCGCCUACCGCAUGGUGGGUGUUGGAGAGAUUUAUCGGUUUUGGAUGGACUCGCGGCCUAUCAGCUUGUUGGUGAGGUAAUGGCUCACCAAGGCGACGACGGGUAGCCGGCCUGAGAGGGUGACCGGCCACACUGGGAAUGAGACACGGCCCAGACUGCUACGGGAGGCAGGAGUGGGGAAGAUUGCACAAAGGGCGAAAGCAUGAUGCAGCGACGCCGGGUGAGGGAGGACGGAAUUCGGGUUGGAAAUCUCUUUCAGUAGGGAAGAAGCGAAAGUGACGGUACCUGCAGAAGAAGCACCGGCUAACUACGU
Molecule: ribosomal RNA, 465 nt
Filed under: uncultured bacterium
Lineage: Bacteria
Description: partial 16S ribosomal RNA
Rfam family: Bacterial small subunit ribosomal RNA
Source: RNAcentral